UAAUCCGACCUAGGCUCAUCCAUUAGCGCGAGGUCUUGCGAUCCCCCGCUUUCCUCCGUAGAGCGUAUGCGGUAUUAGCCCGGCUUUCGCCGGGUUAUCCCCCACAAAUGGGCAGAUUCCUACGUAUUACUCACCCGUCCGCCACUCGUCGCCAGGGUUGCCCCCGCGUUACCGUUCGACUUGCAUGUGUUAGGCAUGCCGCCAGCGUUCAAUCUGAGCCAGGAUCAAACUCU
Molecule: ribosomal RNA, 233 nt
Filed under: uncultured bacterium
Lineage: Bacteria
Description: partial 16S ribosomal RNA
Source: RNAcentral